GUAGGUGGCAAGCGUUGUCCGGAUUUAUUGGGCGUAAAGGGAGCGCAGGCGGUCUUUUAAGUCUGAAUGUGAAAGCCCUCAGCUUAACUGAGGAAGAGCAUCGGAAACUGAAAGACUUGAGUGCAGAAGAGGAGAGUGGAACUCCAUGUGUAGCGGUGAAAUGCGUAGAUAUAUGGAAGAACACCAGUGGCGAAGGCGGCUCUCUGGUCUGUUACUGACGCUGAGGCUCGAAAGCAUGGGUAGCGAACAGGAUUAGAUACCCUGGUAGUCCAUGCCGUAAACGAUGAGUGCUAAGUGUUGGGAGGUUUCCGCCUCUCAGUGCUGCAGCUAACGCAUUAAGCACUCCGCCUGGGGAGUACGACCGCAAGGUUA
This 372-nucleotide ribosomal RNA is filed under the name uncultured bacterium. Its description in RNAcentral is "bacterial SSU rRNA". It matches the Rfam family "Bacterial small subunit ribosomal RNA", at positions 527 to 896 of the family's 1533-position model. The record is from RNAcentral.